GUCACCUCCUCACGCUGCGGCUGUCGCCCGUGUCCCGCCGGCCCGUUCCGUGUCGCCCCGCAGUGCUGCGGCCGCCGCGGCACCAUGGCUGUGUUUGUCGUGCUCCUGGCGUUGGUGGCGGGACCUUUCUUGGCCAGGACUCGCAGUGGGUAACCUGUUUCAUCGUCCUCGGGCUACCGUCAUGGUGAUGGUGAAGGGAGUGAACAAACUGGCUCUACCCCCAGGCAGUGUCAUUUCGUACCCUUUGGAGAAUAGAGUGUAUAUGGUAGGGAAGGCAAACUCAGUGUUUGAAGACCUUUCAGUCACCUUGCGCCAGCUCCGUAAUCGCCUGUUUCAAGAAAACUCUGUUCUCAGUUCACUCCCCCUCAAUUCUCUGAGUAGGAACAAUGAAGUUGACCUGCUCUUUCUUUCUGAACUGCAAGUGCUACAUGAUAUUUCAAGCUUGGGAGAGACAACAUAUCUUCCAAGAACACAAGCCUGGGCGUAAGAACACCCUGGCCAUAGUCCUAACUUGGCUGUUGAUUUCUUCUGUCUCGUCAUAAGCAUCUAGCCAAGGAUCAUUCUCCUGAUUUAUAUUCACUGGAGCUGGCAGGUUUGGAUGAAAUUGGGAAGCGUUAUGGGGAAGACUCUGAACAAUUCAGAGAUGCUUCUAAGAUCCUUGUUGACGCUCUGCAAAAGUUUGCAGAUGACAUGUACAGUCUUUAUGGUGGGAAUGCAGUGGUAGAGUUAGUCACUGUCAAGUCAUUUGACACCUCCCUCAUUAGGAAGACAAGGACUAUCCUUGAGGCAAAACAAGCG
RNAcentral lists this long non-coding RNA (798 nucleotides) under Homo sapiens (human). Its description in RNAcentral is "HSALNT0281754". The record is from RNAcentral. Lineage: Eukaryota; Metazoa; Chordata; Mammalia; Primates; Hominidae.